Molecule: ribosomal RNA, 423 nt
Filed under: uncultured bacterium
Lineage: Bacteria
Description: bacterial SSU rRNA
Rfam family: Bacterial small subunit ribosomal RNA
Source: RNAcentral
AACGCGAAGAACCUUACCAGGUCUUGACAUCCUCUGACCAUCCUAGAGAUAGGACCUUCCCCUUCGGGGGACAGAGUGACAGGUGGUGCAUGGUUGUCGUCAGCUCGUGUCGUGAGAUGUUGGGUUAAGUCCCGCAACGAGCGCAACCCUUAUCCUUAGUUGCCAGCAUUCAGUUGGGCACUCUAAGGAGACUGCCGGUGACAAACCGGAGGAAGGUGGGGAUGACGUCAAAUCAUCAUGCCCCUUAUGACCUGGGCUACACACGUGCUACAAUGGAUGGUACAAAGGGUUGCGAAGCCGCGAGGUGAAGCCAAUCCCAUAAAACCAUUCUCAGUUCGGAUUGCAGGCUGCAACUCGCCUGCAUGAAGCCGGAAUCGCUAGUAAUCGUGGAUCAGCAUGCCACGGUGAAUACGUUCCCGGGUC